GAGUAACACGUGGGCAACCUGCCUGUAAGACUGGGAUAACUUCGGGAAACCGAAGCUAAUACCGGAUAGGAUCUUCUCCUUCAUGGGAGAUGAUUGAAAGAUGGUUUCGGCUAUCACUUACAGAUGGGCCCGCGGUGCAUUAGCUAGUUGGUGAGGUAACGGCUCACCAAGGCAACGAUGCAUAGCCGACCUGAGAGGGUGAUCGGCCACACUGGGACUGAGACACGGCCCAGACUCCUACGGGAGGCAGCAGUAGGGAAUCUUCCGCAAUGGACGAAAGUCUGACGGAGCAACGCCGCGUGAGUGAUGAAGGCUUUCGGGUCGUAAAACUCUGUUGUUAGGGAAGAACAAGUACGAGAGUAACUGCUCGUACCUUGACGGUACCUAACCAGAAAGCCACGGCUAACUACGUGCCAGCAGCCGCGGUAAUACGUAGGUGGCAAGCGUUAUCCGGAAUUAUUGGGGCGUAAAGCGCGCGCAGGC
RNAcentral lists this ribosomal RNA (483 nucleotides) under Bacillus sp. WB94. RNAcentral's name for it is "bacterial SSU rRNA". It matches the Rfam family "Bacterial small subunit ribosomal RNA", at positions 108 to 576 of the family's 1533-position model. The record is from RNAcentral. Lineage: Bacteria; Bacillati; Bacillota; Bacilli; Caryophanales; Bacillaceae.